Cylas formicarius (sweet potato weevil) is the source of this 4452-nucleotide RNA transcript. RefSeq lists it as uncharacterized. The transcript is spliced from 9 exons. NCBI's taxonomy places the organism in Eukaryota, Metazoa, Arthropoda, Insecta, Coleoptera, Brentidae. The record is from RefSeq and is a predicted model, not a curated record.
UAACCUUAGCAUUCUGUGUGACCGGCUCCUUACUACAGAUUAUCAGAAUAACAAUAAUAAUUAUGGAAUUAAAUUCGGAUUUAGUAGGAGUACAAGGAAUUUUAUAUAGUUGUUUAAAAAGAGUUGGCGAUUUUACUAAAAUCAACUGCAAAAACGGUAAGGAAGAGAAAAUACUUCUUGUUGUAAGCGAGUUAGGAAAAUUUUUGUGUAAUAAAAACUAUUUGUGUGACGGAAAUGUUGUUCCUAAAUUUACCAAGGAACUAGAAGAUUUUACUUUUUUCUUGGCAUUAAAUACUAAAUUCAAAAAGGAAUUGGUUUCUGAAGAUUAUCCACAUUUAAUUGGGAUUUUACCACCAUUAUCUUCAUGCCUCUUUGCCAACAUUUGUUAUGGUUUGGAUCUUUGUACACAGUAUGGUAGUAUUAUGUCCAGAUUCACAAUUGAAGUCACUCAAGAAAUGUUGGAGGAGAUAAGCUAUUGUUUAAGCAAUUCAAAGCCAGAUGAACAACUUAAGGCAUUUAUUUUUCUGAAAGCAGCUGCGAAAAAGUUGUAUUUGACUGAGUUUACAAACCAGAUAGAAAGCUCUAUAGAAAAUAUUGUCAGUGCUUCAAAUGAUGUAUUAAAAAAUCUCAAUGGAAUUGGUGUCAGUUAUGCAAAGGAAAUGAAAGAGAAAGAAAUAUACCAACAUAUGGGAUUAAUAAUGCUUAAUUUAUUGGAUUUAUUAUUAGAUAUUGAUGAGAAUACUCUGUCAUUAAGAAGAUUUUUAGAGUGCUUGUUUGCGACAACUUGCAACACAUUCAGCAGCGUAUCCUUGAAUGUAUUUUGUACUUGGGCUGAGGUUAAAUAUGAGGAUCAACCUCUUCAACUCAUUGUGGCUGGUAGAGCCUAUUUAGUUAUAGAAAAAUAUAGGAAUAUCGAUCUAGCAACUGAAUUAAUUAGCAUGCUUAGCACAAUAGCAAAGAAGCCAAAAACAAUAAAUCAACUGAUAGACGAAGCUGACCUAUCUACCAUAAUCAGUAAAGUAAGCAAAGCAGAUGCCCAUCAACAUAAAUGGUUUAAAGCCCUAUUAAAAUACAACAUAUUCCAUGACGAUAAUGCUUGGCAAUGUGUUGAACAAUGGUACCAUUUAUGUGAUGAAACUGAUUUUAAAAAACUUUUAAAUCAACCUGUUGGUGACAAUAAAUCAAGAUAUAGAAAUAUCAUACAGAAAUGUGCCUCAAACUUAAGCUCAGAAUUUCUGAAAAGGACUUUGAUUGGUGAGUUAUGGCACAAAGAUUUUCAAUGGCAUGAAGAUACUCAAGAUAGACUGGUGUUGACUUUUAACAGGAUGGAAGCUCAAUUAAAAGAGACUGACUUAAAAGAUCUUUUAUUACUACUAUUUGAAAAUGUUUCUUUAUUUUUUCGGCAUCUCUAUUUAGUUACAUUUAAUGGAUCACAGAUUAGCAGCCAAGUGUUCAAUUUAACAGCAGACAUUGCAUCUAUCAACAAUGUUGGACUUGAAAAUAUUAAAGUACUCUUUGGAGAAAACCAACCAACAGAUCAAAAUGUUAGUGGUUAUGUCAAAUUGUUUGAAGCGAUCAAUAGCUGUGGUUCCUUUUCAUGGGAUACUAUUAUUUUGGAUAUUUUACUACCAUUUUUGCAAAAAUAUAGAAGUGAUAAAGCUUUGGAUACACUAUGUAGUUGUCUUCAACUUCUAAAGCAUUUUGGUGAAGUUAAUCUCAAUUUGACGACAGAACAAAAAAUUUUUCAAGAACUUCUGGUUUGUUCUGCGGAGAACAGAUGGAGAUCAUUUUUACAGUUUGCCAAUGAAAAGGAAGGGAUUGUUAAAAAUUGUGUGGAGUUUAUCUUAAAAAGGAUUGAUUUCUUAACAUCCAACAAACAAGACCAGCUUGUAAAUAUGGUAUCUGUGGAAUAUAUUAAUGACCCUUGGUCCAUGUAUUACAAAGAAUUACAUACAGGAGAAGUCCGACCAAGUCUAAUUGGUUGCAUUUUGCCAAACAUUGAGCUUACAAGCUAUUAUCAGGAAAACCCAGAUGAAAGCUUCACACACUUGAUGAAGAUUCUUCCAUGUUGCGUAACGCCAGAAUGGUAUAUUAUCUUUAAAGAAUUUGAAAACCGGCAAGGAUUUUCCGCAACUUUGAACCUUUUUUCCGAUAUUAUCAUUCUUUUGUGUGAUUUUGCAGAAUCUCAAAAAAAACAGCAAACUGAAAACUUCAACCAGAUAAUUCAUCCUUUAAAAUAUUGUUUGCAGAACUAUGGAAAGUUGCUUGCAAAGUAUUUGCAGGAAGCAAGCAAGGAAGAUCAGAUUGGCGCUAUAAAUUGUGUAUGCAGAAUGCUCAAAUAUAUUCCUAAUCCAGUAAAAACUACAGAAGGCAUGUUCUUAGUUAAUGUGCUACCCGAAAAUGUUCUGAAAAUGCUGGCACAAAACAAGGAAUUCAUAGCACGUGUAGUGCUUAUCAAUGACCAAAUAUUGUGCAAAGCUCUAGCUCAAAAAAUUGUUGGAACAAAAUAAUCACUUUUUUAUUGGUCACUUGUUACUACUCUCAAAAAAUACAUAUUUUGUUUCUUACUCAUUUUAUUUUUCUUCUGUACGAGGGAAAUAACAUAAAACAGCCUGCGUGGAUGCAAUAAACAAACAAACAUCCAUAUUUUUUGCCCUAUCACAUAAUUUUUUUAUAGCGCUCCAAUUUUAAAAAAUGUUAUUAUGACAUGAAUGUGUUUGUUCCGUGUUAGGCAUGAUUUUUAAAUGAAUUGAUUUUUGUGAAACUAAUUUCGAUUUGGCAACACUGGAUAAUAUUAGAUUCUCUGCAAAACAACGGAGUUGGCGCAUUAGCUUCAAUAGAGGGUUGUGACCUGCUUAUGCGCAGCUUGGUUGUAUUGGCCCUCGUGGUACUGUGUUCGCGGCUGUUGUCUUUAUUGUUCCUUAUUUCUAGUGUUCUAGAACAUCAAUAUCGAAAGAAGACAUUGUGUGAACAAUCCAAAUAACUCUUGUUAUAUCUGUAGUAAUUCUGUUGUAGUAAAGCAAAGGCAAACUAUAACUUCUUUUGGGAAAAAUGUAUACCACACUUAUUUUGGCGUAAAAAUUGGCGACCACGACAAGUCCUGGGCGCCUCAUAAUGUUUGUUCUGUUUUCGUUGAAGCAUUAAGAAACUGGCAAACAAGUGAUGAUUGAUAUUUUUGUUCAUGUAAUGUUCAAGAAUUUAACAGAAAAAAUAAGUAACAAAUUGUCUUGAAUUGUCUCGAAUCUUGACUUUCCUAUUCAACCAUGGACCAGAUGUACCGAUACCUACCGCCCCGAAAGAACUACAAAACGUCAUAUCGUCAGAAUCAGAGGAAUCUAAUUCCUACCCAGAAUUAAAUAAUUUAAUUAGAGAUUUACACCUUCCUUAAUUCCAAAGGAUGCAUCUGAAUUGUUAGCGUCCAGACUUCGUGACAAACAUUUACUGGCACCUGGCGUCACAUUAAGCUUUCAUCGGGAUCGCAAAAAAGAGUUUAGAAGACGAAUGGCGCCUGUUUAUUGACUCAAGUAAGUGUAGUUUAAAAGGCGUUUUAUUGCCCAAAGGUAACGAACUGGCCGCGGUUCCCGUUGCAGAGUGCGUACAUUUAAAAGAAACAUUUGAAAAUUAAGGAUUUCUUUUCAAGAAAAUAAACUACUAAGAAUAUCAGUGGAUGCUUUGUGGUGACCUUACAGUGCUGUGCAUGCUCCUAGGACAUAGGGGUCAUACAAAAUUUCCAUGCUUUAUGUGUAAUUGGACUGAAAUAGAAUGUCAAUCUAGAACAAGCCUUACACCACGUAGCAAAAACGUAUUAAGAGAUGGGUUAGUUGACCCCAAAAAAGUUUUACUGCCUCUUCAUAUCAUUCCACUGUUGAAUUAUUAUACCUGAUGUGCUCCAACAUUGUGAACUUUCAAAAACUAUUGAAAAAUGGGUGUUUGAUAUUUAUAAAAAAAAUUAUUCAAUGAAACCAAACGCUUGAAACUUGAUGGUUUAGUUUGGGAAAGGGGGAAGGUAAUUUUGCAAAAAAAAAAAUGUUUUAAUGCCUCAUAUCAAACUUGGCUUGAUGAAGCAGUUUGUUAAAGUCCUAGACAAAAACGGACAGUGUUUCACAUAUUUGUGUGAGAAUCUUCCAGCCACAUCGGAUGCCAAGAUAAAAAAAGGUUUUUGUUGGGCCGCAGAUAAAAACAUUAUACAAAGACAUGGAUUUUCAAAACACAGUGACCAGUGUCGAGAAAAACUAACUGAAAAGCUUCUUGGGAACUCUAAGGACAGAAACUACGAAGUUAGCGAAGAACAGGGAGAGAGGUUUCCCCAGGACAUUAAGGCAGAUGGAGCAUAACGGUAAUGGUGGACUAGUGCUGUAUGUUAAAACGGGAACGCAGCUUUCUGGUAAAAAGACGAUUGCUCUCAAAAAAGUCAGGGUAAAGUUUUUUUUUCUCUUUUUUUUUAAACUAGGA